This is a long non-coding RNA of Poeciliopsis prolifica (blackstripe livebearer), 1414 nucleotides long. RefSeq lists it as uncharacterized. Lineage: Eukaryota; Metazoa; Chordata; Actinopteri; Cyprinodontiformes; Poeciliidae. The transcript has 3 exons. The record is from RefSeq and is a predicted model, not a curated record.
UCAUCUGAGUUACAUUUUUACAGUCAAUUAAAUCAAUUCAUGAAGAAUUUGAACGUCCAUUUAAAAAUGAUUUAAAACCCUUUUUCUGAACAUUAUUUAACUCUGAGAUUGUUGAUCUGGUUGGGAACUGAAGCUCUUUUUGGGAUUGUUUGUUUUUCUGGUGCUUUUAUAUUUGCAUGUAUUGAAUGUUUUCUGCUCAGUGAAUUUAGUCCCAGAGUUUCUGUUGUUGAGGAUAUUAUGUCCAACUCUAACCAUCUUAUUAUUGGUCAGCUCUGCACAACAGCUUAUUCUGAAAUGUAUUUAAUCCUUUAUAAUAAUGUGUUUUACAUUAUUGUCUUUAGGUCUGUUGACAACAAUAACCUACAGUAAGAACCGUGUUAUGAAUUUUUAACAUCUUUAUGUAAUGAAAGCAGAGGCUUUACGAAAACCCAGAAUAACUCAAAAAUAAAAUGUGAACUUUUCCAGCAGCAGCUUCUCAUUAAAGUGAAGCUUAAAGGAGUUUUAGCCCUAAAUUGGGAAACUUUUCCAGUGUUUUAUGCUCAGUGUUUUCAGGUUACAUAAGUCACUGCAGUGCAUUAACACAAAUGUUCCUUCAAGCGUGCAGCAUGCUGCACAGAGCCACUUUUCUCUCGCUGCUCCCAUCAUUACUGUCUGGACGGCCGAAUCAUCCGUGACGAACGGAGCGUUUCACGAAGCUUCAGACAAAAGAUCCUGGACAUGCAGGAGCCUGGUCGGCUCAGCCGGCCGUGAAGCGGAUCGCUGCAGCUGCUGGACCUCCAGAGGAACAACUUACUGCUGAAAACUCGUCUCCAGCAGCAGCAGUGAUGUUCAGGUUGGGAAGGCUGACUCCAGGAUACUACCGACUCCUCCAGAGGCAGAUGUCCGGCGAGGUUCGGGUCCAGCCCUGCAGCAGCAUCCUGGAGCCUGUCGCCCUGACGUUGGCCGCCCUGGGGAUGGGAGUGUCUCUGUACAGCGCCAGGCAGAUGGCGGCGAGUCGCCAGAAACGUCACUGAGGAGCUUUUUGGGAAUGUGACUGAAUGUCUUGGGAUAUUGGAGACGGUUCGAUUCUGAGGACGUUCAGGUGUUUGGAAAAAGAGAAUUAAAGGAAAAUGUGAAGUUUUGUCUGCAGGUGAGACGAGGCAGCAAGUUAAAGACGCGAUCAGGGGUUUUCUUUUAGUGCAAUAUUAAUUUUAUUAGAAAAUUAGACAAUUUUACAUGAAGUAAUUGUUAUUGUUGCAGUUCAACAAAAGGACUAAUUGAUUUAUAUUUAAUGUUUGUCACUAUUUCUUCCUCUUCGUCAUUUGUUGUAUCAUGACCAAAACGCUGAAGAAAUAACUUUAUGCACAACGUCGUCUGACUUUAUCAGCCACAUGUUGUUAAACACUUGACACCUCUAUUAAAUAGAUUCCUGUAC